UAAUACGGAGGGUGCAAGCGUUAUCCGGAUUCACUGGGUUUAAAGGGUGCGUAGGCGGGCAGGUAAGUCCGUGGUGAAAUCUCUGAGCUUAACUCAGAAACUGCCAUGGAUACUAUUUGUCUUGAAUGUUGUGGAGGUAAGCGGAAUAUGUCAUGUAGCGGUGAAAUGCUUAGAUAUGACAUAGAACACCAAUUGCGAAGGCAGCUUACUACACAAAUAUUGACGCUGAGGCACGAAAGCGUGGGGAUCAAACAGGAUUAGAUACCCUGGUAGUCCACGCCCUAAACGAUGGAUACUCGACAUACGCGAUACACAGUGUGUGUCUGAGCGAAAGCAUUAAGUAUCCCACCUGGGAAGUACGACCGCAAGGUUG
RNAcentral lists this ribosomal RNA (373 nucleotides) under uncultured bacterium. RNAcentral's name for it is "bacterial SSU rRNA". It matches the Rfam family "Bacterial small subunit ribosomal RNA", at positions 521 to 896 of the family's 1533-position model. The record is from RNAcentral.